GAUGAACGCUGGCGGCGUGCCUAAUACAUGCAAGUCGAGCGAACAGACGAGGAGCUUGCUCCUUUGACGUUAGCGGCGGACGGGUGAGUAACACGUGGAUAACCUACCUAUAAGACUGGGAUAACUUCGGGAAACCGGAGCUAAUACCGGAUAACAUGUUGAACCGCAUGGUUCAACAGUGAAAGACGGUUUUGCUGUCACUUAUAGAUGGAUCCGCGCCGCAUUAGCUAGUUGGUAAGGUAACGGCUUACCAAGGCAACGAUGCGUAGCCGACCUGAGAGGGUGAACGGCCACACUGGAACUGAGACACGGUCCAGACUCCUACGGGAGGCAGCAGUAGGGAAUCUUCCGCAAUGGGCGAAAGCCUGACGGAGCAACGCCGCGUGAGUGAAGAAGGUCUUCGGAUCGUAAAACUCUGUUAUUAGGGAAGAACAAAUGUGUAAGUAACUAUGCACGUCUUGACGGUACCUAAUCAGAAAGCCACGGCUAACUACGUG
RNAcentral lists this ribosomal RNA (497 nucleotides) under uncultured bacterium. RNAcentral's name for it is "partial 16S ribosomal RNA". It matches the Rfam family "Bacterial small subunit ribosomal RNA", at positions 28 to 507 of the family's 1533-position model. The record is from RNAcentral.